RNAcentral lists this long non-coding RNA (262 nucleotides) under Mytilus galloprovincialis (Mediterranean mussel). Lineage: Eukaryota; Metazoa; Mollusca; Bivalvia; Mytilida; Mytilidae. The record is from RNAcentral.
AUAAAGUAAUAUGCACUUUUUUUAAAAAACCGUUCCUGGCGUGGGGCAUAUUUUGUAGUUGCUGUAAAGGUGUUUAUAGGGUUGGACAUUUUCGAUGCUGUAUUCUCCCUAUUUUUUGUCUAUCAUAUAAGAACAUUCCGGUCAGACAUUAAAACCCCUGCCACAAAAAAAUAUGCCCGUUUUAUUCAUCAUGUUCAUUUAAUGCCAUACAAUUCUGUUGGAAAUAUUCAUUUCUAAUAGCAAAAAGGUGGACAAGAUUUUU